Molecule: ribosomal RNA, 253 nt
Filed under: uncultured bacterium
Lineage: Bacteria
Description: partial 16S ribosomal RNA
Rfam family: Bacterial small subunit ribosomal RNA
Source: RNAcentral
UACGAAGGGGGCGAGUGUUGUUCGGAAUUACUGGGCGUAAAGGGCGCGUAGGCGGCCCCUUUUGUCGCGUGUGAAAUCCCGGGGCUCAACCUCGGAACUGCCUUUGAUACAGCAAGUCUUGAGUUCGAGAGAGGUGGGUGGAAUUCCUAGUGUAGAGGUGAAAUUCGUAGAUAUUAGGAAGAACACCGGUGGCGAAGGCGGCCCACUGGCUCGAUACUGACGCUGAGGUGCGAAAGCGUGGGGAGCAAACAGG